AAAUGGCAGCGGUUUGACUCCAAAGAAGCCAUUUCUUGUCCACAGGGCCCUCUGAUGAUGGCUGGAGAUCUGGUCCCAGGGCAGCUCUCUGCAUGAUGCUUUACUACACCGGCCCUGUCCAUGGUGCUGCUCCACAUUCUCCAGGACCGGGGACCCUCUGCAUCCAGCACCUAGCUGGGGAAAUGAGCUACAAGCCACACAAGGGCAGAGAUUGUGGCUAUUGUGUUCAUCUGGUCACCAGCACAGUCUUGGAACAGAGUAUUAGCUCCAUGGAACACAUACGAAUGAGCGGAUAAAUGAGUGAGUAUUCAGACUCCUCUCACUGUUCAUUUGCUAUCAAAUCUCUCUUAUGCUUUCAGACUUAUCUCUAAUAUCAGCUCUGCAUAAAGUCUGCUCCAUUCCCUUAAAAUAAACUCUUACAUGAAGCUCCUAUGUUGUUUGUUUAAGGCUUUGAUGUUGAGAAGCAUUAUAUGAAGUAGUUGAGAGAACAGGCUUUAGAG
Molecule: long non-coding RNA, 500 nt
Filed under: Capra hircus (goat)
Lineage: Eukaryota; Metazoa; Chordata; Mammalia; Artiodactyla; Bovidae
Description: lncRNA (ENSCHIG00000001559.1)
Source: RNAcentral